CGACGAUGCGUAGGGGUUCUGAGAGGAAGGUCCCCCACACUGGUACUGAGACACGGACCAGACUCCUACGGGAGGCAGCAGUGAGGAAUAUUGGUCAAUGGGCGGGAGCCUGAACCAGCCAAGUCGCGUGAGGGAUGACGGCCCUAUGGGUUGUAAACCUCUUUUGCCGGGGAGCAAAGUGCCGCACGUGUGCGGUUUGGAGAGUACCCGGAGAAAAAGCAUCGGCUAACUCCGUGCCAGCAGCCGCGGUAAUACGGAGGAUGCGAGCGUUAUCCGGAUUUAUUGGGUUUAAAGGGUGCGUAGGCGGACGCUUAAGUCAGCGGUAAAAUUGCGGGGCUCAACCUCGUCGAGCCGUUGAAACUGGGUGCCUUGAGUGGGCGAGAAGUACGCGGAAUGCGUGGUGUAGCGGUGAAAUGCAUAGAUAUCACGCAGAACUCCGAUUGCGAAGGCAGCGUACCGGCGCCCAACUGACGCUGAAGCACGAAGGCGUGGGUAUCGAACAGGAUUAGAUACCCUGGUAGUCCACGCAGUAAACGAUGAAUGCUAGUUGUCCGGGGCGAUUGAGUUCUG
This 570-nucleotide ribosomal RNA is filed under the name uncultured bacterium. RNAcentral describes it as "bacterial SSU rRNA". It matches the Rfam family "Bacterial small subunit ribosomal RNA", at positions 274 to 841 of the family's 1533-position model. The record is from RNAcentral.